CGAAAAGGAUGAAUUUAAAGGUAACGUGGAGAUAAAGCGAGUAGAAAAGUUACCAGUUAAAAAACUCUGUAUCAACGAUCCAAUAACUGAAAAAAAAUUCCACAAAUAUAACUUAGCUUUCUAUUUCCUUUGCAAAUACAUACCGAGCGAAAGUACCAAGGUAUAUGACUCGGAUUUACAAGAUAACUAUGGACUUCGGAUCAAAGAUCAAUUAUCUGCUCAUUUCGAUGAACCCAAAAAGACGAUGUCACUAUAUUUAUCGCACAAAGCAUAUACUCGUAUUCAUUACAGUUAGAAAACAUCGAUGCCACCUAACAAUGUCGUCUCAUAGUGGUAGAAUUUUUCUUUUAUUGCUCGUAAUACUUACAAUGUAUGUACCUAUUGUAUUGUUCAGCAUUCAAAAAGAUAAGUUGAUAUUCGUGUCCAGCUCUCUUGUAAACCCAAUAAAACAUAUGUGACCUGGU
This is a long non-coding RNA of Planococcus citri (citrus mealybug), 464 nucleotides long. RefSeq lists it as uncharacterized. Lineage: Eukaryota; Metazoa; Arthropoda; Insecta; Hemiptera; Pseudococcidae. The transcript has 2 exons. The record is from RefSeq and is a predicted model, not a curated record.